GUGCCUGUGGCUCAAAAGGGUGGGGCACCAGCCCCAUAUGCUGGAAGUGGCAGGUUCAAACCCAGCCCAGGCCA
RNAcentral lists this transfer RNA (74 nucleotides) under Otolemur garnettii (small-eared galago). It matches the Rfam family "tRNA". Rfam says of the family: Transfer RNA (tRNA) molecules are approximately 80 nucleotides in length. Their secondary structure includes four short double-helical elements and three loops (D, anti-codon, and T loops). Lineage: Eukaryota; Metazoa; Chordata; Mammalia; Primates; Galagidae. The record is from Rfam by way of RNAcentral.